AACCUUGGUCACGAUCUGGUGCUGAAAAAUUUAGGGUGAGUUUUGUUCUUUGUGUGUAGUUGAUGGUGGUAGCCCAGGCUAUGAUGGUGGUGGUCGUGUUGGUGGUGGGCUUGAGGUGCCAAUGGUUCCGUUGCUGGUUACAUGUGGCUAUGGUGAGGUGGUGUACAUUUGUUUGCCGAUGUUGGGAAUGGUGGUGAGUGACCAAACCUAUUUUUAUUGUGACUGUUUGUGACCAGAUUUGUGUCAACUGUGACCGUAUGUGACUUGGUUAUAUAUAGUCACAAAUUAGACUAACAUGGUUAUAAACAGUCACUACAAUUUUGGUCAUGAACACAUAAGGUCAAAGCUCAUACGUUACUGGUCACAAUUCGCCGUUAAGGUCACAGUUCACUGUUCAUAGGUUUGAGUUCACA
Molecule: long non-coding RNA, 413 nt
Filed under: Olea europaea (common olive)
Lineage: Eukaryota; Viridiplantae; Streptophyta; Magnoliopsida; Lamiales; Oleaceae
Description: long non-coding RNA (OEUR_LNC011438)
Source: RNAcentral